AAACUGUCUCUUGGUGAAGUCGAUUUUCAUCGCCGCUGUCGGCUUCUUCAGCUCCAGCCAGACACACACCAUUCUCUCCCCAUUCCUCAAAGUUCUCUGGUGCUCUCUCUCUCCAUCCCUCGCACUCGGGCUGUUUUUCCAAGUUUUUCCACCGACGAGGCGGAUCACACCGAUUCUGAGGGCAGUUUGAGAGUAUUUUGUGAAAAAUUCCCCUCGGAGAGACUUAAUAAUUAAGUGAAGUGAACAGUGAUGGACUGAUAGACAGUAAAACUGUAGAAAAUGCGAGAAAAUCAUCAUAGCGAACAAAUUGUGCGACUGAUAGGGAACUGGAUUUUCCUGAACUGUGGCUUUUUUCUUAUCUACCGAAAAGUGGGGAGGAAUCGCAGCGCACAGACGGCGGGCCCAGAAGAACUCCCGCGGCAGGACACCUCUUCAACCAUAUGGAAUACAGCAGGACUGAGCAGUGCUUAAGUGAUUCAGGCCAACCCCAAAAAUCUCGCGCACAAUAUUGUGAAAUUGCCUACAACUCCGUGCGACAGAGAUGACCAUACUUCCCGUCCGGACGAAUCUGCAAGUCAGCACUGUGAUGCUCUUGGCCAGCUGAAUGAUCCCUGACGCUCGCCCUGGCACAGCGACUGGGAGAAAGAAGCGCGAGACGUCUGAUGAAAAACGAAUUUCCAUUUCAAAUAUCUUGAUGAAUAUGGUAACGCAGAAAAAGUACUGUGAAACAUGCAAAAUAGCCGGUCAAGUGAAAGUCUCUGGACGGAGACUUUACCUGGCCUUGAGUUCAAGCAGAGACACAAAAGCCCAGAGAGAGAGAGAGAAAGAGAACCUUCGACUUUUUAGGACUCGACCUUUUUCUCAAAAUUACCACUACAUGGAGACGUAAUUAGUAAUUGCAACUGUGACAUUCCGGGCGACAGAGAGAGCCCCCCUCCCCCCUCCAUCCCAGAAGCUGAGAGACGCCACUGGAUUUUCCCCUUCUGGACACUCGCACGACCGUGUAUCUCCAGUCCAAAUAAGACAAUGUUCCAUAGCAAGUCACUUGGCAAGUGACAUUGAGGCAUCUUCAGGUGAUUGGGAAAGAAGGGAAUAAUUGGUCAGGAUGUCAGGCACUUUCCUGAGUAGCUGCCGCAUUGAAUUUCCUGCCAGAGUCACUCUCAAGUGCCCUCUCACGGAUUCACCUCAUGCAACAAUCUCCAGACGACGGCGGUGUGCGGCUACGAAAAUCGUCCCGAUGAGAGCAGAGGACCCCUCUGGCAGCGUAUCAUCUGGUUUCGACGAAAAGGUGGGCACACACGGAGGAGACAAAGGGACCUCAAGAUUGGGUGAGAGAUGAAAGGGUUGGAAAAAUUCGCUAGACGAGGAAGAGAGGUGUCAGUGAACUGGUUUACUCUGACUGGAGUGAACCCCAUCAAGGCCACGGAAUGUCUGGAUGCCGAAUCCCUGCCAUGGAAUUCUUCCUCCUUCCCAGCAGACGGUUUUUUGUCCGCCGCGCUGAAAAUCUCUUGAUGAAAUAUUUGGAGGGACCCUUGAGACAAUUCAGCGAGAGAGACAGAAUUCACACACACGAGGAACAUCUGUAGGAAACCCCAAAAAGCACAGCUCAUGGGCAACUCAGGAGAGGAGACAGAGAGAGAGAGAGCGCGAGGGACUCUUCUGCCCACCUGCUGCUUGAUUAAGAAUUAUUACCCCGCCCAGUGCGAAGAUCAACAGACACACCGUGCACUUUGUGGCCGAGGCAGCGAAGCACCGACGGCGCCUCUCUGUUGUUGGACUCAAGAAUGCAACGGAGGAGUUUAAUGCACCGUGAAAUUGGGUGAACAAAAGUCUGCUGCCUGCGUAUAACCCCUGGGAGGUGUACCACCAAGUGUUGUGUAUCGUUUGGGGGGAUCAUCGCGACCGAUCACUUGACACAGACACCAUCAGCUCUGUCCAAGUGACCGAUACAGGCGUGCGCACACUUCUCUUUUUUUUUAAUUGAAUUCACCCAGUGAUUAGCAAAUGGGUAUCGUUUCAGCACAGAUUCGAUCAUCCAACACACAUUAAGCCAAACAUAAAUCACCCACGCAACGAUCUUCACUUGUGAGUUUGAUCUUCUUGUUCAGCCAUUUCGAAAACAUGCAGUCGGCAUCUAUUUUUAAACCAUCAACCUCAUCCACUGUGCGCUCCUCACGCCGCCGAAGAAGACUCACCUCCUCACAGACCAUCCUCGAUUUCCCCGAGCAAUAUACUCUUUUUAUCUGUGUUAAUAGCUUCAAACAACUAAUUGACGCAUUCCCUAUAUUCAGCACGCACUAUAACUUUUUGUUUCAGUCUCCAUCUCUCUCGCGCACACUUGCUCUCCAUAGCCAUCCGUUGGGCCCCCGCGCGCGCCCCACAAGAUGCGAAUGAGACGCACGGGAUAUGAGAGGUGAACUUCCGGACAUGGGGAAGAUUUCUGUGUU
Phlebotomus argentipes is the source of this 2447-nucleotide long non-coding RNA. RefSeq lists it as uncharacterized. The transcript is spliced from 4 exons. Lineage: Eukaryota; Metazoa; Arthropoda; Insecta; Diptera; Psychodidae. The record is from RefSeq and is a predicted model, not a curated record.